GCUUCGGCAAAGGGUAAGGGUGAAAGGGUGCGGUAAGAGCGCACCGCGCUUCCGGUGACGGGAGCGGCAGGGUAAACCCCACCGGGAGCAAGACCGAGUAGGAACGGCCGGUGACUUCGGGUCACAGGCGGGUUUUCACGUCGUCGUUCGGGUGUGUCGCACGAGGCGUCCGGUAACGGGCGUCCCAGAUGAAUAACCAUCUAUCGCAAGUUUACUUGCGUGGACAGAACCCGGCUUACAGACCGUCUGGCAUU
Molecule: RNase P RNA, 254 nt
Filed under: Rhodospirillales bacterium
Lineage: Bacteria; Pseudomonadati; Pseudomonadota; Alphaproteobacteria; Rhodospirillales
Description: partial RNase P RNA component class A
Rfam family: Bacterial RNase P class A
About the family: Ribonuclease P (RNase P) is a ubiquitous endoribonuclease, found in archaea, bacteria and eukarya as well as chloroplasts and mitochondria.
Source: RNAcentral